This 253-nucleotide ribosomal RNA is filed under the name uncultured bacterium. RNAcentral describes it as "partial 16S ribosomal RNA". It matches the Rfam family "Bacterial small subunit ribosomal RNA", at positions 524 to 776 of the family's 1533-position model. The record is from RNAcentral.
UACGUAGGGGGCAAGCGUUGUCCGGAUUUAUUGGGCGUAAAGAGCGUGUAGGCGGCCAGGUAGGUCCGUUGUGAAAACUCGAGGCUCAACCUCGAGACGUCGAUGGAAACCAUCUGGCUAGAGUCCGGAAGAGGAGAGUGGAAUUCCUGGUGUAGCGGUGAAAUGCGCAGAUAUCAGGAAGAACACCUAUGGCGAAGGCAGCUCUCUGGGACGGUACUGACGCUGAGACGCGAAAGCGUGGGGAGCGAACAGG